RNAcentral lists this ribosomal RNA (424 nucleotides) under uncultured bacterium. RNAcentral describes it as "partial 16S ribosomal RNA". It matches the Rfam family "Bacterial small subunit ribosomal RNA", at positions 360 to 776 of the family's 1533-position model. The record is from RNAcentral.
AAUUUUGGACAAUGGGGGAAACCCUGAUCCAGCCAUCCCGCGUGUAUGAUGUAUGCCUUCGGGAUGUAAAGUACUUUUGGCAGAGAAGAAAAGGUAUCUCCUAAUACGAGAUACUGCUGACAGUAUCCGCAGAAUAAGCAACGGCUAACUACGUGCCAGCAGCCGCGGUAAUAUGUAGAGUGCAAGCGUUAAACUGAAAUACUGGGCGUAAAGCGUGUGUAGGCGGUUCGGACAGAAAGAUGUGAAAUCCCAGGGCUCAACCUUAGAACUGCAUUUUUAACUGCCGAGCUAGAGUAUGUCAGAGGGGGGUAGAAUUCCACGUGUAGCAGUGGAAUGCGUAGAUAUGUGGAGGAAUACCGAUGGCGAAGGCAGCCCCCUGGGAUAAUACUGACGCUCAGACACGAAAGCGUGGGGAGCAAACAGG